CUACGGGGUGCUCCAGUUAAGAAUAAUCUACAAUGCACGCAAGUGUGAUAGUUUGAGCCAGAGUGAUUCUCAAUUUGGGAAUCUUUUGCUAAAUGUAAAAAGUUUGGCGAAUAAGGACUGGGUAAGACGAGUGCCAGCCGCCGCGGUAAUACUCGCGGUCCAAGUCGCAACCAUUUUUAUUGGGUCUAAAACAUCCGUAGCUUGCUUCUUAAGUUCCUUGUGAAAUUUUAUAUCUCAAAUAUGAAGCGUGCAAGAAGUACUGGGAAGCUAGAGACUGGAAGACGUAAGAAGUAUGUUCGAAGUAGCGGUAAAAUGUGUUAAUCUCGAGCAGACUAACGAUAGCGAAGGCAUCUUACGAGGACAGUUCUGACAGUAAGGGAUGAAGGCUAGGGGCGCAAAACGGAUUAGAUACCCCGGUAGUC
Molecule: ribosomal RNA, 422 nt
Filed under: uncultured archaeon
Lineage: Archaea
Description: partial 16S ribosomal RNA
Rfam family: Archaeal small subunit ribosomal RNA
Source: RNAcentral